RNAcentral lists this ribosomal RNA (269 nucleotides) under uncultured Planctomycetales bacterium. RNAcentral describes it as "partial 16S ribosomal RNA". It matches the Rfam family "Bacterial small subunit ribosomal RNA", at positions 567 to 832 of the family's 1533-position model. The record is from RNAcentral. Lineage: Bacteria; Pseudomonadati; Planctomycetota; Planctomycetia; Planctomycetales.
AAGCACGUAGGUGGGUUUGUAAGUCAGAUGUGAAAGCCUUCUGUUCAAAGGAAGAACGGCAUCUGAAACUGCAGAUCUUGAGUGUAGGAGGGGAGAGUGGAACUUCUGGUGGAGCGGUGAAAUGCGUAGAUAUCAGAAGGAACGUCGGCGGCGAAAGCGACUCUCUGGCCUAUUACUGACACUGAGUGUGCGAAAGUUGGGGGAGCAAACGGGAUUAGAUACCCCGGUAGUCCUAACUGUAAACGAUGGGCACUAAGUAGAGGGGUUUU